RNAcentral lists this ribosomal RNA (253 nucleotides) under uncultured bacterium. Its description in RNAcentral is "partial 16S ribosomal RNA". It matches the Rfam family "Bacterial small subunit ribosomal RNA", at positions 524 to 776 of the family's 1533-position model. The record is from RNAcentral.
UACGUAGGGUGCGAGCGUUGUCCGGAAUUAUUGGGCGUAAAGAGCUCGUAGGCGGUCAGUCGCGUCUGCUGUGAAAACUCGGGGCUUAACCCCGGGCCUGCAGUGGGUACGGGCUGACUAGAGUGCGGUAGGGGAGACUGGAAUUCCUGGUGUAGCGGUGAAAUGCGCAGAUAUCAGGAGGAACACCGGUGGCGAAGGCGGAUCUCUGGGCCAUUACUGACGCUGAGGAGCGAAAGCGUGGGGAGCGAACAGG